RNAcentral lists this ribosomal RNA (1691 nucleotides) under Larsonella pumila. RNAcentral describes it as "16S rRNA". It matches the Rfam family "Bacterial large subunit ribosomal RNA". The record is from RNAcentral. Lineage: Eukaryota; Metazoa; Chordata; Actinopteri; Gobiiformes; Gobiidae.
ACCCCGAACAGCUAGCCCACCUUCUAACCAAACAACCAGUAUUAAUAUUACAUAAUUAACGAGUAUUAUCACAACAAACCAUUUUUCCCCCUAAGUACGUGCGACAGAAAAGGAGCCAGGAGCUAUAGAAAAAGUACCGCAAGGGAAAGCUGAAAAAGAAAUGAAAAAACUUAGUAAAGACCUAAAAAGCAGAGAUUUUUCCUCGUACCUUUUGCAUCAUGAUUUAGCUAGUAUACAUCAAGCAAAGAGACCUUUACGUUUGAUACCCCGAAACUGAACGAGCUACUCCAAGACAGCCUAUUAUAGGGCAAACCCGUCUCUGUUGCAAAAGGGUGGGAAGAUCUUCGAGUAGAGGUGACAGACCUACCGAGCUCAGUUAUAGCUGGUUAUCUGGGAAAUGAAUAAAAGUUCGACCUUUUAUCUUCUUUAAUCAAAUAUGGAGCCCCCGUGUUCCUUAUUAAGACUUAAAAGAAGUUAAAAGAGCUAUUCAAGAGAGGGACAGCUCUCUUGUAAAAAGAUACAACUUUGGUAGAAGGCUAAAGAUUAUAAAAAAUUUAAGGACAAAACCUAAGUGGGCUUAAAAGCAGCCACCUUUACAAAUAGCGUUUAAGCUUUAGUUACCUGCUUCCUAUUAUUCCAUAAACCUUUUCUUAAACCUCUUAUCUCACCAGAUCAUUCUAUGCACACAUAGAAGAGACUCUGCUAAUAUGAGUAAUAAGAGGACAUCAGCUCCUCUCCUCGCACCCGUGUAAAUCAGAACGAACCUCUCACUGAAAAUUAACGCCCCCAAAGAAAGAGGGUAUUAAGGUAACAAACCCAAAACUAGAAAAACCCACCUAUAUUUUUAACGUUAAACCCACACAGGAGUGCCACCGGAAAGACUAAAAGAAAAAGAAGGAACUCGGCAAACACUGGCCUCGCCUGUUUACCAAAAACAUCGCCUCUUGCCCCUAAUAAGUAUAAGAGGUCCCGCCUGCCCUGUGACCAAGAGUUCAACGGCCGCGGUAUUUUGACCGUGCGAAGGUAGCGUAAUCACUUGUCUUUUAAAUAGAGACCUGUAUGAAUGGCAUUACGAGGGCUAAACUGUCUCCUUUUUCCAGUCAAUGAAAUUGAUCUGUCCGUGCAGAAGCGGACAUAAAAACAUAAGACGAGAAGACCCUAUGGAGCUUUAGAUUUAAGAUAGCCCAUGUCAAUUUACCUGUUAUAACGGAACAAAACUUAAUGACUCCUUUCUUCCAUAUCUUCGGUUGGGGCGACCACGGAGUAACAAAAAUCCUCCACGUGGAACGGACUCUACAGUCCCAAUGUCAGAGCAACAGCUCUAACAAGCAGAAUAUCUGACCUUCAAGAUCCAGCAUAGCUGAUCAACGGACCAAGUUACCCUAGGGAUAACAGCGCAAUCCCCUCCUAGAGCCCUUAUCGACGAGGGGGUUUACGACCUCGAUGUUGGAUCAGGGCCUCCUAAUGGUGUAACCGCUAUUAAGGGUUCGUUUGUUCAACGAUUAAAGCCCUACGUGAUCUGAGUUCAGACCGGAGAAAUCCAGGUCAGUUUCUAUCUAUGAAACUACUUUUUUCUAGUACGAAAGGACCGAAAAAAGGAGGCCCAUGCUUCAAGCACGCCUCCCCCCAAACUAAUGCAACCAAAUAAAAGAGAUAAUGGGGCCCAAAAUCAUUAUUGAGAAAAAAGCAAA